RNAcentral lists this ribosomal RNA (465 nucleotides) under Vreelandella stevensii. RNAcentral describes it as "partial 16S ribosomal RNA". It matches the Rfam family "Bacterial small subunit ribosomal RNA", at positions 338 to 795 of the family's 1533-position model. The record is from RNAcentral. Lineage: Bacteria; Pseudomonadati; Pseudomonadota; Gammaproteobacteria; Oceanospirillales; Halomonadaceae.
CCUACGGGGGGCUGCAGUGGGGAAUAUUGGACAAUGGGGGGAACCCUGAUCCAACCAUGCCGCGUGUGUGAAGAAGGCCCUCGGGUUGUAAAGCACUUUCAGUGAGGAAGAACGCCUGGUGGUUAAUACCCAUCAGGAAAGACAUCACUCACAGAAGAAGCACCGGCUAACUCCGUGCCAGCAGCCGCGGUAAUACGGAGGGUGCGAGCGUUAAUCGGAAUUACUGGGCGUAAAGCGCGCGUAGGUGGCUUGAUAAGCCGGUUGUGAAAGCCCCGGGCUCAACCUGGGAACGGCAGCCGGAACUGGCAAGCUAGAGUGCAGGAGAGGAAGGUAGAAUUCCCGGUGUAGCGGUGAAAUGCGUAGAGAUCGGGAGGAAUACCAGUGGCGAAGGCGGCCUUCUGGACUGACACUGACACUGAGGUGCGAAAGCGUGGGUAGCAAACAGGAUUAGAUACCCGGGUAGUC